This 373-nucleotide long non-coding RNA is filed under the name Cricetulus griseus (Chinese hamster). RNAcentral's name for it is "lncRNA (ENSCGRG00000024973.1)". The record is from RNAcentral. Lineage: Eukaryota; Metazoa; Chordata; Mammalia; Rodentia; Cricetidae.
GUAAUAGUAGCUGACUCAGUGACCACAGUGAAGGGAAAGUACACAGGAGGUUCAGCAGGCCUUCCUGGGUGAGCCCUGAUGAGAGUUUGUUUCCCUUUGAUGACAGAGACAGAGAAGAGCACAGGUGACUGCAGCCCAUAUGCCUCAAUUACAUCUCUCAUGUCCUUCACUGUUCCCUGAUUUUCCUGGGAUAUUGACUACAAAGUUUUCUGCUACAAGGAAAGAAGAAGGAAACUUAAGAGAAAUGAAAAUUAAGAAAUACAGCUUGUUCCUAGAAAAUUCAGACUCCUCGAUCUUUAGACACAAGAUCGAGGUCCUGGGCCUUACAUUUCAACACAGGUCCCUCAUAUCCAUAAAGGAAGGAGCCAAGAAA